UACGGAGGAUCCAAGCGUUAUCCGGAUUUAUUGGGUUUAAAGGGUGCGUAGGCGGUUUCUUAAGUUAGAGGUGAAAUCCCGUGGCUCAACCACGGAACUGCCUCUGAUACUGGGAGGCUAGAGAAUAGUUGCUGUGGGCGGAAUGUAUGGUGUAGCGGUGAAAUGCUUAGAGAUCAUACAGAACACCGAUUGCGAAGGCAGCUCACAAAGCUAUAUCUGACGCUGAGGCACGAAAGCGUGGGGAGCAAACAGG
This 253-nucleotide ribosomal RNA is filed under the name uncultured bacterium. RNAcentral describes it as "partial 16S ribosomal RNA". It matches the Rfam family "Bacterial small subunit ribosomal RNA", at positions 524 to 776 of the family's 1533-position model. The record is from RNAcentral.